GAGUUUGAUUNUGGCUCAGAUUGAACGCUGGCGGCAUGCUUUACACAUGCAAGUCGGACGGCAGCACAAAGAAGCUUGCUUCUUGGGUGGCGAGUGGCGAACGGGUGAGUAAUGCAUCGGAACGUACCGAGUAGUGGGGGAUAACUGUCCGAAAGGAUGGCUAAUACCGCAUACGCUUUGAGAAGGAAAGCGGGGGAUCUUCGGACCUCGCGCUAUUCGAGCGGCCGAUGUCUGAUUAGCUGGUUGGUGGGGUAAAGGCCUACCAAGGCGACGAUCAGUAGCGGGUCUGAGAGGAUGAUCCGCCACACUGGGACUGAGACACGGCCCAGACUCCUACGGGAGGCAGCAGUGGGGAAUUUUGGACAAUGGGCGCAAGCCUGAUCCAGCCAUGCCGCGUGUCUGAAGAAGGCCUUCGGGUUGUAAAGGACUUUUGUCAGGGAAGAA
RNAcentral lists this ribosomal RNA (444 nucleotides) under Neisseria shayeganii. RNAcentral's name for it is "bacterial SSU rRNA". It matches the Rfam family "Bacterial small subunit ribosomal RNA", at positions 9 to 449 of the family's 1533-position model. Lineage: Bacteria; Pseudomonadati; Pseudomonadota; Betaproteobacteria; Neisseriales; Neisseriaceae. The record is from RNAcentral.